AUUGAGCGCUGGCGGAAUGCUUUACACAUGCAAGUCGAGCGGCAGCGCGGCCUUCGGGCUGGCGGCGAGCGGCGAACGGGUGAGUAAUGCAUCGGAACAUGCCCAGUCGUGGGGGAUAACACUUCGAAAGAAGUGCUAAUACCGCAUACGUCCUGAGGGGGAAAGCGGGGGAUCGCAAGACCUCGCGCGAUUGGAGUGGCCGAUGUCAGAUUAGCUAGUUGGCGGGGUAAAGGCCUACCAAGGCGACGAUCUGUAGCUGGUCUGAGAGGAUGAUCAGCCACACUGGGACUGAGACACGGCCCAGACUCCUACGGGAGGCAGCAGUGGGGAAUUUUGGACAAUGGGGGCAACCCUGAUCCAGCCAUUCCGCGUGAGUGAAGAAGGCCUUCGGGUUGUAAAGCUCUUUCGGCAGGAACGAAACGGUGGGCUCUAACAUAGUCCGCUAAUGACGGUACCUGAAGAAGAAGCACCGGCUAACUACGUG
RNAcentral lists this ribosomal RNA (484 nucleotides) under uncultured bacterium. RNAcentral's name for it is "partial 16S ribosomal RNA". It matches the Rfam family "Bacterial small subunit ribosomal RNA", at positions 29 to 507 of the family's 1533-position model. The record is from RNAcentral.